UGAAGGAUCAUUAUCCUUUAGCUUGUGCGAGUGUUCUUAUGACACCUCGUACUUGAGCUCACAACGCUCUUAUUGCGCGGCAGCCGUCUUCACCGGCGACUGCCAAACAACCACAAAUCCACGGUAGGCUCGUAGGCUACUGUGGUCAGGUACCUAGCAGCUGAAGCGUCUCCCUCGGGAGCCGUGUUGGCGUAAAGAUUACACCACUGUCUACAGUGGCGUAACGCCUGUUUAGCUCACAAGUUUUCUCACCUUUAAAUUGCAUUCUAUGAGUUGGUGUGAUUGUGUAAAUUCUAUGCUCAAAACAUGGAUGAUUUAACACAAAAACAACCCUAUGCGGUGGAUCACUUGGCUCGCGAGUCGAUGAAGAGCGCAGCAAACUGCGUGAAUUAAUGUGAUUUGCAGGACACAUUGAUCAUCGAUAUCUUGAACGCAUAUUGCGGUUACGGAUCGCUUCCGUGACUACGCCUGUCUGAGGGUCGGUAUAAAUGUGUAAAAACGUCAAGCGUGUAAAAGCGACUUGCUCGGUUGUUAGAGGCCUUUACCGGCUUCCAUCAACUUAGAUACAUUUAUACUAAGCCUUAUGCUUAGUUGUAGUGCACAAUGUUUAUUCAUUGUUGCUGUGAUAAAGCAAGUAAAAAUUGCAUAGAUCUCUCUAAUUUAUUUGCUGUCGCGGCCUCUUAGAAUGAACUAAACAGCUACUGUGUAAAUACAAUCUAACUAUUUUUCAUUUUCGACCUCAGAUCAGACGAGAUUACCCGCUGAAUUUAAGCAUAUUAUUAAGCGGAGGAAAAGAAACUAACCAGGAUUCCUUUAGUAACGGCGAGUGAACAAGGAAGAGCCCAUCACCGAAUCCUUCCCGGUAAACGGGAAAGGAAUUGUGGUGUAAAGGACAGGUUUCGUUGCAUUGUCAUUGGCCCAAGUUCUCUUGAAUGGGGCUUCCCAGAGCGGGUGUCAGGCCUCUAGCGACCAAUUGACUUUGUAACUUUUCUUGUCCCGAGAGUCGGGUUGCUUGAGAUCGCAGCCCUAAGACGGGUGGUAUACUCCAUCCAAGGCUAAAUACCGUCGCGAGACCGAUAGCGAACAAGUACCGUGAGGGAAAGUUGAAAAGAACUUUGAAGAGAGAGUUAAAUAGUACGUGAAACCGUAUAGGGGUAAACGGGUGGAAGCGCUAAAUCAGUGCGGAGAAUUCAGAUCGUCGUUAGCUCGUUACGUGGUGCUCGGCAUGGUCUAACGCCAGUCGGGUUUGCAAACACGUUCAACGACGGUUGCACUUUUUCCGCAUUGAGCGCCUCGACAGAUUGCUGCGCACAUUUAAAGGCAGGUGCUCGGUACCGCGACUCUGUUGCGGACUUAUAAGCACUUGUUGAUGUGUGCGCGGCGAUCUUGGACUGAAUGCGAAGGAGUAUCAGCGCAAGCGAGAUGUGUGCUCAUGCAGUGGCUGUCGAAUUGUGGGAAACUCCCUAGUGAGUUCUUGCUAACCGGGUUGCUGUAUUGGGUGUACGUUCUCAUGGUACUCGAGUCCGAGGCGAAUGGUCGUACAUCUACCCGACCCGUCUUGAAACACGGACCAAGGAGUCUAGCAUGUGCGCAAGUCAUUGGGUUCUACGAAACCUAAAGGCGAAUUGAAAGAGAAGGCUAAUUCUGUUAGCUGAGGUGUGAUCUUGGCGGCAACGUCGGGCGCAACACCGUCCGGUCACGAUUUCUUAGAAAUGUGGCUGCGAAAGAGCGUGCACGCUGGGACCCGAAAGAUGGUGAACUAUGCCUGAGCAGGAUGAAGCCAGAGGAAACUCUGGUGGAGGUCCGCAGCGAUUCUGACGUGCAAAUCGAUCGUCAAACUUGGGUAUAGGGGCGAAAGACUAAUCGAACCAUCUAGUAGCUGGUUCCCUC
Molecule: unclassified non-coding RNA, 1890 nt
Filed under: uncultured fungus
Lineage: Eukaryota; Fungi
Description: sequence contains 18S rRNA gene, ITS1, 5.8S rRNA gene, ITS2, 28S rRNA gene
Rfam family: Eukaryotic large subunit ribosomal RNA (bases 735-1890)
Source: RNAcentral